This 478-nucleotide ribosomal RNA is filed under the name uncultured bacterium. Its description in RNAcentral is "bacterial SSU rRNA". It matches the Rfam family "Bacterial small subunit ribosomal RNA", at positions 30 to 506 of the family's 1533-position model. The record is from RNAcentral.
UUGAACGCUGGCGGCAUGCUUUACACAUGCAAGUCGAACGGUAGAGGGCUUCGGCCCUUGAGAGUGGCGAACGGGUGAGUAAUGCAUCGGAACAUACCCAGUCGUGGGGGAUAACGUAGCGAAAGUUACGCUAAUACCGCAUACGUCCUGAGGGAGAAAGCGGGGGAUCUUCGGACCUCGCGCGAUUGGAGUGGCCGAUGUCAGAUUAGCUAGUUGGUGGGGUAAAGGCCCACCAAGGCGACGAUCUGUAGCGGGUCUGAGAGGAUGAUCCGCCACACUGGGACUGAGACACGGCCCAGACUCCUACGGGAGGCAGCAGUGGGGAAUUUUGGACAAUGGGGGCAACCCUGAUCCAGCCAUGCCGCGUGCGGGAAGAAGGCCUUCGGGUUGUAAAGCUCUUUCAGACGGAAAGAAAUCGGGCGCGUGAAUAGCGUGCCUGGAUGACGGUACUGUCAGAAGAAGCACCGGCUAACUACGU